UGUUGCUGCUGCUGUUGUUGUUACUGCUGCCACCACUGACGGUGGAGGUGGUGUCUACUCCCACUACAGGACCUUCCAAAGUGGAAUCCUUACUUCACCAAUGCUCGCUCCCUGGAACAACACGAGAUGAUGGAGCCAGAGAUGCAGCAUCACCAUCAGAGAAGACAAGAGUUCCGAGAGAAGCUGGAGGCUAGAGUCAGACACAGGAGAGAGCAUCCUGGCAUGUCCUCACUAUACUCCUCUCAUGGUGGUAGCCACAGGAGCUUCCAGAGAUCCCAUGUCUAUGUGCAGACUGAUAAUUAUUACGAACCACUGGAACGCCCUCCAGAGGUACAGACAGAAGCUCAGACCCCAGAUACGUGGAGUCAGGACGUGCCCAUGGCACCCAUGUCUUUCAUCACUCCCAGGGGCGUGGAUGCCCAUACCCAAGUCUACCAGACCGAGGUCAGUAUACCCACCCUCU
Non-coding RNA from Cherax quadricarinatus, 463 nucleotides. NCBI's taxonomy places the organism in Eukaryota, Metazoa, Arthropoda, Malacostraca, Decapoda, Parastacidae. The record is from RefSeq and is a predicted model, not a curated record.